UAGCAUGUCAAUGGUUGUUUACUGGGGUGU
Molecule: non-coding RNA, 30 nt
Filed under: Rattus norvegicus (Norway rat)
Lineage: Eukaryota; Metazoa; Chordata; Mammalia; Rodentia; Muridae
Source: RNAcentral